RNAcentral lists this ribosomal RNA (429 nucleotides) under Chloroflexota bacterium. Its description in RNAcentral is "Chloroflexi bacterium partial 16S ribosomal RNA". It matches the Rfam family "Bacterial small subunit ribosomal RNA", at positions 355 to 776 of the family's 1533-position model. The record is from RNAcentral. Lineage: Bacteria; Bacillati; Chloroflexota.
UGGGGAAUAUUGCACAAUGGGCGCAAGCCUGAUGCAGCCAUGCCGCGUGUAUGAAGAAGGCCUUCGGGUUGUAAAGUACUUUCAGUCGGGAGGAAGGUGUCAAGGUUAAUAACCUUGGCAAUUGACGUUACCGACAGAAGAAGCACCGGCUAACUCCGUGCCAGCAGCCGCGGUAAUACGGAGGGUGCAAGCGUUAAUCGGAAUUACUGGGCGUAAAGCGCACGCAGGCGGUUGAUUGAGUCAGAUGUGAAAUCCCCGGGCUUAACCCGGGAAUUGCAUCUGAUACUGGUCAGCUAGAGUCUUGUAGAGGGGGGUAGAAUUCCCUGUGUAGCGGUGAAAUGCGUAGAGAUGUGGAGGAAUCCCGGUGGCGAAGGCGGCCCCCUGGACAAAGACUGACGCUCAGGUGCGAAAGCGUGGGGAGCAAACAGG